ACGGGUGAGUAACACGUGGGUAACCUGCCUCAUAGAGGGGAAUAGCCUUCCGAAAGGAAGAUUAAUACCGCAUAAGAUUGUAGUGCCGCAUGGCAUAGCAAUUAAAGGAGUAAUCCGCUAUGAGAUGGACCCGCGUCGCAUUAGCUAGUUGGUGAGGUAACGGCUCACCAGGGCGACGAUGCGUAGCUGACCUGAGAGGGUGAUCGGCCACAUUGGGACUGAGACACGGCCCAGACUCCUACGGGAGGCAGCAGUGGGGAAUAUUGCACAAUGGGGGAAACCCUGAUGCAGCAACGCCGCGUGAGUGAUGACGGUCUUCGGAUUGUAAAGCUCUGUCUUCAGGGACGAUAAUGACGGUACCUGAGGAGGAAGCCACGGCUAACUACGUGCCAGCAGCCGCGGUAAUACGUAGGUGGCAAGCGUUGUCCGGAUUUACUGGGCGUAAAGGGAGCGUAGGUGGAUAUUUAAGUGGGAUGUGAAAUACUCGGGCUUAACCUGGGUGCUGCAUUCCAAACUGGAUAUCUAGAGUGCAGGAGAGGAAAGUAGAAUUCCUAGUGUAGCGGUGAAAUGCGUAGA
This 576-nucleotide ribosomal RNA is filed under the name uncultured bacterium. RNAcentral describes it as "bacterial SSU rRNA". It matches the Rfam family "Bacterial small subunit ribosomal RNA", at positions 102 to 694 of the family's 1533-position model. The record is from RNAcentral.